AUUGAACGCUGGCGGCAGGCUUAACACAUGCAAGUCGAGCGGUAACAGAGAGAAGCUUGCUUCUCUGCUGACGAGCGGCGGACGGGUGAGUAAUGCCUAGGAAUCUGCCUAGUAGUGGGGGAUAACUUGCCGAAAGGUAAGCUAAUACCGCAUACGUCCUACGGGAGAAAGGAGGGGACCUUCGGGCCUUUCGCUAUUAGAUGAGCCUAGGUCGGAUUAGUUAGUUGGUGAGGUAAUGGCUCACCAAGACCGCGAUCCGUAACUGGUCUGAGAGGAUGGUCAGUCACACUGGAACUGAGACACGGUCCAGACUCCUACGGGAGGCAGCAGUGGGGAAUAUUGGACAAUGGGGGGAACCCUGAUCCAGCCAUGCCGCGUGUGUGAAGAAGGUCUUAGGAUUGUAAAGCACUUUAAGUUGGGAGGAAGAGCAGUUAACUAAUAUUUGACUGUUCUGACGUUACCGACAGAAUAAGCACCGGCUAACUUCGUGCCAGCCGCCGCGGUAA
This 506-nucleotide ribosomal RNA is filed under the name uncultured bacterium. RNAcentral's name for it is "partial 16S ribosomal RNA". It matches the Rfam family "Bacterial small subunit ribosomal RNA", at positions 30 to 523 of the family's 1533-position model. The record is from RNAcentral.